RNAcentral lists this ribosomal RNA (423 nucleotides) under uncultured bacterium. RNAcentral describes it as "bacterial SSU rRNA". It matches the Rfam family "Bacterial small subunit ribosomal RNA", at positions 29 to 458 of the family's 1533-position model. The record is from RNAcentral.
AGCGAACGUUUGCGGCGGGCCUAACACAUGCAAGUCGAACGCACUAGCAAUAGUGAGUGGCGCACGGGUGCGUAACACGUGGGUAAUCAACCCUUCAGCUUGGGAUAACGACUUGAAAGGGUCGCUAAUACCGGAUACGGCGCGAGAGGCUUCGGCUUCUCAACGAGAAAGCCUCGCAAGGGGCACUGAAGGACGAGCCUGCGGCCCAUCAGCUAGUUGGUGAGGUAAGAGCUCACCAAGGCUAAGACGGGUAGCUGGUCUGAGAGGAUGAUCAGCCACACUGGAACUGAGACACGGUCCAGACUCCUACGGGAGGCAGCAGUGGGGAAUAUUGCGCAAUGGGCGAAAGCCUGACGCAGCCACGCCGCGUGAGUGAGGAAGGCCCUUGGUCGUAAGACUCUGUCAAGGAAAGAAUAGUAUAAU